Molecule: ribosomal RNA, 495 nt
Filed under: uncultured bacterium
Lineage: Bacteria
Description: partial 16S ribosomal RNA
Rfam family: Bacterial small subunit ribosomal RNA
Source: RNAcentral
GAUGAACGCUGGCGGCGUGCCUAAUACAUGCAAGCCGAGCGAACAGACGAGGAGCUUGCUCCUCUGACGUUAGCGGCGGACGGGUGAGUAACACGUGGAUAACCUACCUAUAAGACUGGGAUAACUUCGGGAAACCGGAGCUAAUACCGGAUAAUAUAUUGAACCGCAUGGUUCAAUAGUGAAAGACGGUUUUGCUGUCACUUAUAGAUGGAUCCGCGCCGCAUUAGCUAGUUGGUAAGGUAACGGCUUACCAAGGCAACGAUGCGUAGCCGACCUGAGAGGGUGAUCGGCCACACUGGAACUGAGACACGGUCCAGACUCCUACGGGAGGCAGCAGUAGGGAAUCUUCCGCAAUGGGCGAAAGCCUGACGGAGCAACGCCGCGUGAGUGAUGAAGGUCUUCGGAUCGUAAAACUCUGUUAUUAGGGAAGAACAAAUGUGUAAGUAACUAUACACGUCUUGACGGUACCUAAUCAGAAAGCCACGGCUAACUACG